This 496-nucleotide ribosomal RNA is filed under the name uncultured bacterium. RNAcentral describes it as "partial 16S ribosomal RNA". It matches the Rfam family "Bacterial small subunit ribosomal RNA", at positions 28 to 507 of the family's 1533-position model. The record is from RNAcentral.
GAUGAACGCUGGCGGCGUGCCUAAUACAUGCAAGUCGAGCGAACGGACGAGAAGCUUGCUUCUCUGAUGUUAGCGGCGGACGGGUGAGUAACACGUGGAUAACCUACCUACAAGACUGGGAUAACUUCGGGAAACCGUAGCUAAUACCGGAUAAUAUUUUGAACCGCAUGGUUCAAAAGUGAAAGACGGUCUUGCUGUCACUUAUAGAUGGAUCCGCGCUGCAUUAGCUAGUUGGUAAGGUAACGGCUUACCAAGGCAACGAUGCAUAGCCGACCUGAGAGGUGAUCGGCCACACUGGAACUGAGACACGGUCCAGACUCCUACGGGAGGCAGCAGUAGGGAAUCUUCCGCAAUGGGCGAAAGCCUGACGGAGCAACGCCGCGUGAGUGAUGAAGGUCUUCGGAUCGUAAAACUCUGUUAUUAGGGAAGAACAUAUGUGUAAGUAACUGUGCACAUCUUGACGGUACCUAAUCAGAAAGCCACGGCUAACUACGUG